UUUCCGUAGGUGAACCUGCGGAAGGAUCAUUAUCGUAUAACCGAGGUGCGAGGGCUGUCGCUGACCCGGACGCUCGUGCACGCCUGAGUGCCCUCACACACAUCCAUCUCACCCCUAUGUGCACCACCGCGUGGGUCCCCCUUUGGCUUGUUCGGAGGGGGGCUUACGUUUUCAGACAAACUUUGUAUGCAGUGUAGAAUGUAUUUUUUGUUUUUGCGAUCCCGCAAUCAAUACAACUUUCAACAACGGAUCUCUUGGCUCUC
Molecule: unclassified non-coding RNA, 263 nt
Filed under: plant metagenome
Description: partial contains small subunit ribosomal RNA, internal transcribed spacer 1, and 5.8S ribosomal RNA
Source: RNAcentral